UGGGGAAUAUUGCACAAUGGGCGCAAGCCUGAUGCAGCCAUGCCGCGUGUGUGAAGAAGGCCUUCGGUUGUAAAGCACUUUCAGCGAGGAGGAAGGUGGUGAGCUUAAUACGCUCAUCAAUUGACGUUACUCGCAGAAGAAGCACCGGCUAACUCCGUGCCAGCAGCCGCGGUAAUACGGAGGGUGCAAGCGUUAAUCGGAAUUACUGGGCGUAAAGCGCACGCAGGCGGUUUGUUAAGUCAGAUGUGAAAUCCCCGGGCUCAACCUGGGAACUGCAUUUGAAACUGGCAAGCUAGAGUCUCGUAGAGGGGGGUAGAAUUCCAGGUGUAGCGGUGAAAUGCGUAGAGAUCUGGAGGAAUACCGGUGGCGAAGGCGGCCCCCUGGACGAAGACUGACGCUCAGGUGCG
RNAcentral lists this ribosomal RNA (407 nucleotides) under uncultured bacterium. Its description in RNAcentral is "partial 16S ribosomal RNA". It matches the Rfam family "Bacterial small subunit ribosomal RNA", at positions 355 to 755 of the family's 1533-position model. The record is from RNAcentral.